CACCAGACUCCUACGGGAGGCAGCAGUGAGGAAUAUUGGUCAAUGGGCGGGAGCCUGAACCAGCCAAGUCGCGUGAGGGAAGACGGUCCUAUGGAUUGUAAACCUCUUUAGGCGGGGAGCAAUGCCGGGCACGCGUGCCCGGAGGGAGAGUACCCGCAGAAUAAGCAUCGGCUAACUCCGUGCCAGCAGCCGCGGUAAUACGGAGGAUGCGAGCGUUAUCCGGAUUCAUUGGGUUUAAAGGGUGCGCAGGCGGGCCUUUAAGCCGGCGGUGAAAUCGCGGGGCUCAACCCCGUCGAGCCGUCGGAACUGGGGGCCUUGAGUGCGGCGGAGGCAUGCGGAAUGCGCGGUGUAGCGGUGAAAUGCAUAGAUAUCACGCAGAACUCCGAUUGCGAAGGCAGCGCACCGGCGCCCUACUGACGCUCAGGCACGAAAGCGUGGGUAUCGAGCAGGAUUAGAUACCCGGGUAC
This 467-nucleotide ribosomal RNA is filed under the name uncultured bacterium. Its description in RNAcentral is "partial 16S ribosomal RNA". It matches the Rfam family "Bacterial small subunit ribosomal RNA", at positions 329 to 793 of the family's 1533-position model. The record is from RNAcentral.